RNAcentral lists this ribosomal RNA (479 nucleotides) under uncultured bacterium. Its description in RNAcentral is "bacterial SSU rRNA". It matches the Rfam family "Bacterial small subunit ribosomal RNA", at positions 37 to 507 of the family's 1533-position model. The record is from RNAcentral.
UGGCGGCAGGCCUAACACAUGCAAGUCGAGCGGUAACAUUUCUAGCUUGCUAGAAGAUGACGAGCGGCGGACGGGUGAGUAACGCGUAGAAAUCUACCUAGUAGUGGGGGAUAGCCCAGAGAAAUUUGGAUUAAUACCGCAUACGCCCUACGGGGGAAAGCGGGGGAUCUUCGGACCUCGUGCUAUUAGAUGAGUCUGCGUCGGAUUAGCUUGUUGGUGAGGUAAUGGCUCACCAAGGCGACGAUCCGUAGCUGGUCUGAGAGGAUGACCAGCCACACUGGAACUGAGACACGGUCCAGACUCCUACGGGAGGCAGCAGUGGGGAAUAUUGCACAAUGGGCGCAAGCCUGAUGCAGCCAUGCCGCGUGUGUGAAGAAGGCCUUAGGGUUGUAAAGCACUUUCAGCAGUGAGGAAAGGGGCGUCGUUAAUAGCGCCAUCCUGUGACGUUAACUGCAGAAGAAGGACCGGCUAACUCCGUG